This 26-nucleotide non-coding RNA is filed under the name Cricetulus griseus (Chinese hamster). Lineage: Eukaryota; Metazoa; Chordata; Mammalia; Rodentia; Cricetidae. The record is from RNAcentral.
GCAAGCUAAACGGAGGAACAUGGACG